AUUGAACGCUGGCGGCAGGCCUAACACAUGCAAGUCGAACGAGUGGCGGACGGGAGAGUAAUGUAUGGGAAACUGCGCGAUGGAGGGGGAUAACAAACGGACACGGGAACUACAACCGCACAACAUCGCAUGUGCCCAGAUGGGUUUAGCUAGUGGGAGGGGUACCGGCGCACCUAGGCGACGAUCCCUAGCUGGUCUGAGAGGAUGACCAGCCACACUGGAACUGAGACACGGUCCAGACUCCUACGGGAGGCAGCAGUGGGGAAUAUUGCACAAUGGGCGCAAGCCUGAUGCAGCCAUGCCGCGUGUAUGAAGAAGGCCUUCGGGUUGUAAAGUACUUUCAGCGAGGAGGCGUUACUCGCAGAAGAAGCACCGGCUAACUCCGUGCCAGCCGCCGCGGUAAUUC
RNAcentral lists this ribosomal RNA (406 nucleotides) under uncultured bacterium. RNAcentral describes it as "partial 16S ribosomal RNA". It matches the Rfam family "Bacterial small subunit ribosomal RNA", at positions 29 to 526 of the family's 1533-position model. The record is from RNAcentral.